AGAGUUUGAUCAUGGCUCAGAACGAACGCUUGGGCGCGCCUAAUACAUGCAAGUCGAACGAGGUAGCAAUACCAAGUGGCGCACGGGUGAGGAACGCGUGGAUAUCUGCCUUUCAGUGGGGAAUAACUAUCCGAAAGGAUAGCUAAUACCGCAUAAGACCACAGGCUCUGCGGAGCUAGGGGUCAAAGGAGUAAUUCGCUGAAAGAUGAGUCUGCGUGGGAUUAGCUAGUUGGUGAGGUAAUGGCUCACCAAGGCUACGAUCUCUAACUGGUCUGAGAGGAUGACCAGUCACACUGGAACUGAGACACGGUCCAGACUCCUACGGGAGGCAGCAGUAGGGAAUAUUGCGCAAUGGGCGAAAGCCUGACGCAGCGACGCCGCGUGAGUGAUGAAGGCCUUAGGGUCGUAAAGCUCUGUUGCAUGGGACUAAGAAAGUGAAUGUACCAUGUGAGGAAGGACCGGCUAACUUCGUGCCAGCAGCCGCGGUAAUACGAGGGGUCCUAGCGUUGUUCGGAAUUAUUGGGCGUAAAGAGUAUGUAGGCGGCCAGAUAAGUCAGGUGUGAAAUCCCCGGGCUCAACCCGGGAAGUGCAUUUGAUACUGUCUGGCUUGAGUAUGGAAGAGGGUAGUGGAAUUCCUGGUGUAGUGGUGAAAUACGUAGAUAUCAGGAGGAACACCGGUGGCGAAGGCGGCUACCUGGUCCUAUACUGACGCUGAGAUACGAAAGCAUGGGGAGCAAACAGGAUUAGAUACCCCAGUAGUCC
Molecule: ribosomal RNA, 762 nt
Filed under: uncultured bacterium
Lineage: Bacteria
Description: bacterial SSU rRNA
Rfam family: Bacterial small subunit ribosomal RNA
Source: RNAcentral